ACAAUGAUAGAGGGAAAUUGACGAGAUUGCUGCAGCUACUUCCGAUGAAAAGGUACUCGAGCUGUGAGUAACUUCGUGUUGGUUGCAAACUCUCUGUGAAAUUUAGUUUCUUGCAGUCUCUUAUGUAUAAGGUUUUCAAUGUGGUUGGAGGGUGGCUUCCAGGGAAAGAUUCUAGAGAAUGACAAGCAAUGAUGAGUAGUUCAUGGAGGUUUGGAUAGCUUUCUGUUAAGUUCUCCGGUAAGGAAGUGAGUCCGUCGCAGCUGUCGAUGUGGAGUGACUGCAGAUUCUGAGGAAGCUCCAUGAGGUGAGAUAUGUCUGUCACUUUUAAAUAUUCCAUGUCUGUUUCAUCAUCAUCAUAUUGUGACGGCUUUAUUGCUUCACUUGACCGUGGACUCGGAACAGAUGACUUAAUCCCAUAUUGAUGGUACUGGUAGCUACUACUUCCAGGAAGAAUAGAACCUUCAUUUUUGGGAUCUGGAACAAGUGAUG
This 489-nucleotide long non-coding RNA is filed under the name Arabidopsis thaliana (thale cress). RNAcentral's name for it is "long non-coding RNA (ATHA_LNC000087)". The record is from RNAcentral. Lineage: Eukaryota; Viridiplantae; Streptophyta; Magnoliopsida; Brassicales; Brassicaceae.